CCUACGGGCGGCAGCAGUGGGGAAUAUUGGACAAUGGGGGGAACCCUGAUCCAGCCAUGCCGCGUGUGUGAAGAAGGCCCUCGGGUUGUAAAGCACUUUCAGUGAGGAAGAACGCCUGGUGGUUAAUACCCAUCAGGAAAGACAUCACUCACAGAAGAAGCACCGGCUAACUCCGUGCCAGCAGCCGCGGUAAUACGGAGGGUGCGAGCGUUAAUCGGAAUUACUGGGCGUAAAGCGCGCGUAGGUGGCUUGAUAAGCCGGUUGUGAAAGCCCCGGGCUCAACCUGGGAACGGCAUCCGGAACUGUCAAGCUAGUGCAGGAGAGGAAGGUAGAAUUCCCGGUGUAGCGGUGAAAUGCGUAGAGAUCGGGAGGAAUACCAGUGGCGAAGGCGGCCUUCUGGACUGACACUGACACUGAGGUGCGAAAGCGUGGGUAGCAAACAGGAUUAGAUACCCGGGUAGUC
This 463-nucleotide ribosomal RNA is filed under the name Vreelandella stevensii. Its description in RNAcentral is "partial 16S ribosomal RNA". It matches the Rfam family "Bacterial small subunit ribosomal RNA", at positions 338 to 795 of the family's 1533-position model. The record is from RNAcentral. Lineage: Bacteria; Pseudomonadati; Pseudomonadota; Gammaproteobacteria; Oceanospirillales; Halomonadaceae.